ACCUCGGAGUCUCCAUGGAACUGCUCGUACAUUCAAGGGUACACUGCCUUGGUUUUCCCUGAAACUUGUGAACCUCUAAAGGAAAGCGUCUACCCCAAGCAUUAUUCUGAUUGUUACCAUCUAUCGAAUCAUUUGCAUAGUUCAGCCCGUCGUCACCUCACCGGGGAAACGAUGACCAAAAUACGAAGUUGACUGGAGUAGCUUGUGGUUGUCCAUUUGUUAGAAAAGAUUGUUUCUUGUAAGUUUGCUUGCAGUAACAAAUAAUUGAGUGAUUUGUUAGAAAAAUGAAGCUUAUGUCUUCUUUCAAAGGCAUUUUCCCCACUA
Long non-coding RNA from Hibiscus syriacus, 324 nucleotides. RefSeq lists it as uncharacterized. NCBI's taxonomy places the organism in Eukaryota, Viridiplantae, Streptophyta, Magnoliopsida, Malvales, Malvaceae. The record is from RefSeq and is a predicted model, not a curated record. The transcript has 2 exons.